Molecule: ribosomal RNA, 479 nt
Filed under: uncultured bacterium
Lineage: Bacteria
Description: partial 16S ribosomal RNA
Rfam family: Bacterial small subunit ribosomal RNA
Source: RNAcentral
GAUGAACGCUAGCGGGAGGCCUAACACAUGCAAGCCGAGCGGUAUUGUUUCUUCGGAAAUGAGAGAGCGGCGUACGGGUGCGUAACACGUGUGCAACCUGCCUUUAUCUGGGGGAUAGCCUUUCGAAAGGAAGAUUAAUACUCCAUAAUAUAUUGAACGGCAUCGUUUAAUAUUGAAAGCUCCGGCGGAUAGAGAUGGGCACACGCAAGAUUAGCUAGUUGGUGAGGUAACGGCUCACCAAGGCGAUGAUCUUUAGGGGGCCUGAGAGGGUGAUCCCCCACACUGGUACUGAGACACGGACCAGACGCCUACGGGAGGCAGCAGUGAGGAAUAUUGGUCAAUGGGUGCAAGCCUGAACCAGCCAUCCCGCGUGAAGGACGACUGCCCUAUGGGUUGUAAACUUCUUUUGUAUAGGGAUAAACCUACCCUCGAGAGGGUAGCUGAAGGUACUAUACGAAUAAGCACCGGCUAACUCCGUG